Molecule: ribosomal RNA, 742 nt
Filed under: uncultured Planctomycetota bacterium
Lineage: Bacteria; Pseudomonadati; Planctomycetota
Description: bacterial SSU rRNA
Rfam family: Bacterial small subunit ribosomal RNA
Source: RNAcentral
AAUUCGCCCUUGAGCACGUAGGUGGGUUUGUAAGUCAGGUGUGAAAGCCUUCUGUUCAACGGGAGAAUUGCAUCUGAAACUACGAAUCUUGAGUGUAGGAGGGGAGAAUGGAACUUCUGGUGGAGCGGUGAAAUGCGUAGAUAUCAGAAGGAACGCCGGCGGCGAAAGCGAUUCUCUGGCCUAUUACUGACACUCAGUGUGCGAAAGCUAGGGGAGCAAACGGGAUUAGAUACCCCGGUAGUCCUAGCCGUAAACGAUGGGCACUAAGUAGAGGGGAUUACCGACGUUCUCUCUGCCGUAGCUAACGCAUUAAGUGCCCCGCCUGGGGAGUACGGCCGCAAGGCUAAAACUCAAAAGAAUUGACGGGGGCUCGCACAAGCGGUGGAGCAUGUGGCUUAAUUCGAUGCAACGCGAAGAACCUUACCGGGGCUUGACAUGGUAGAAGUAGGAACCUGAAAGGGUAACGAACGGUAUCCAGUCCGUAGCUAUCACAGGUGUUGCAUGGCUGUCGUCAGCUCGUGUCGUGAGACGUUGGGUUAAGUCCCCUAACGAGCGAAACCCUUGUUUUUAGUUACCAGCGGGUUGUGCCGGGUACUCUAGAAAGACUGCCGUCGUCAAGACGGAGGAAGGUGGGGAUAACGCCAAGUCAUCAUGGCCCUUAUGCCCCGGGCUGCACACGCGCUACAAUGGUCGGUACAAACGGAAGCGAAGCCGAGAGGUGAAGCGAAUCCAAGGGCGAAUU